This 964-nucleotide ribosomal RNA is filed under the name Salmonella enterica subsp. enterica serovar Heidelberg. Its description in RNAcentral is "bacterial SSU rRNA". It matches the Rfam family "Bacterial small subunit ribosomal RNA", at positions 108 to 1068 of the family's 1533-position model. The record is from RNAcentral. Lineage: Bacteria; Pseudomonadati; Pseudomonadota; Gammaproteobacteria; Enterobacterales; Enterobacteriaceae.
GAGUAAUGUCUGGGAAACUGCCUGAUGGAGGGGGAUAACUACUGGAAACGGUGGCUAAUACCGCAUAACGUCGCAAGACCAAAGAGGGGGACCUUCGGGCCUCUUGCCAUCAGAUGUGCCCAGAUGGGAUUAGCUUGUUGGUGAGGUAACGGCUCACCAAGGCGACGAUCCCUAGCUGGUCUGAGAGGAUGACCAGCCACACUGGAACUGAGACACGGUCCAGACUCCUACGGGAGGCAGCAGUGGGGAAUAUUGCACAAUGGGCGCAAGCCUGAUGCAGCCAUGCCGCGUGUAUGAAGAAGGCCUUCGGGUUGUAAAGUACUUUCAGCGGGGAGGAAGGUGUUGUGGUUAAUAACCACAGCAAUUGACGUUACCCGCAGAAGAAGCACCGGCUAACUCCGUGCCAGCAGCCGCGGUAAUACGGAGGGUGCAAGCGUUAAUCGGAAUUACUGGGCGUAAAGCGCACGCAGGCGGUCUGUCAAGUCGGAUGUGAAAUCCCCGGGCUCAACCUGGGAACUGCAUUCGAAACUGGCAGGCUUGAGUCUUGUAGAGGGGGGUAGAAUUCCAGGUGUAGCGGUGAAAUGCGUAGAGAUCUGGAGGAAUACCGGUGGCGAAGGCGGCCCCCUGGACAAAGACUGACGCUCAGGUGCGAAAGCGUGGGGAGCAAACAGGAUUAGAUACCCUGGUAGUCCACGCCGUAAACGAUGUCUACUUGGAGGUUGUGCCCUUGAGGCGUGGCUUCCGGAGCUAACGCGUUAAGUAGACCGCCUGGGGAGUACGGCCGCAAGGUUAAAACUCAAAUGAAUUGACGGGGGCCCGCACAAGCGGUGGAGCAUGUGGUUUAAUUCGAUGCAACGCGAAGAACCUUACCUGGUCUUGACAUCCACAGAACUUUCCAGAGAUGGAUUGGUGCCUUCGGGAACUGUGAGACAGGUGCUGCAUGGCUGUCGUCAGCUCGUGUUGU